GAUGAAGAACGUAGCGAAAUGCGAUAAGUAAUGUGAAUUGCAGAAUUCAGUGAAUCAUCGAAUCUUUGAACGCACAUUGCGCCCGCCAGUAUUCUGGCGGGCAUGCCUGUUCGAGCGUCAUUUCAACCAUCAAGCCCCCGGGCUUGUGUUGGGGACCUGCGGCUGCCGCAGGCCCUGAAAAGCAGUGGCGGGCUCGCUGUCACACCGAGCGUAGUAGCAUACAUCUCGCUCUGGGCGUGCUGCGGGUUCCGGCCGUUAAACUACCCUUUUAACCCAAGGUUGACCUCGGAUCAGGUAGGAAGACCCGCUGAACUUAAGCAUAUCAUAAGCGGAGGA
This 336-nucleotide unclassified non-coding RNA is filed under the name soil metagenome. RNAcentral's name for it is "partial contains 5.8S ribosomal RNA, internal transcribed spacer 2, and large subunit ribosomal RNA". The stretch from base 1 to 120 matches the Rfam family "5.8S ribosomal RNA", at positions 35 to 154 of the family's 154-position model. The record is from RNAcentral.